RNAcentral lists this ribosomal RNA (327 nucleotides) under uncultured eukaryote. RNAcentral's name for it is "partial 18S ribosomal RNA". It matches the Rfam family "Eukaryotic small subunit ribosomal RNA", at positions 1470 to 1796 of the family's 1831-position model. The record is from RNAcentral.
CCCUUAGAUGUUCUGGGCCGCACGCGCGCUACACUGACGAAUGCAACGAGCUUAUAACCUUGGCCGAAAGGUCUGGGUAAUCUCCAAAUUUCGUCGUGAUGGGGAUAGAUUAUUGCAAUUAUUAAUCUUCAACGAGGAAUGCCUAGUAAGCGCAAGUCAUCAGCUUGCGUUGAUUACGUCCCUGCCCUUUGUACACACCGCCCGUCGCUCCUACCGAUUGAAUGGUUCGGUGAAGCGUUCGGACCGUGGCCUUUGGACGGUUCGCCGUCUGUUGGCUGCGGGAAGUUCGUUAAACCUUAUCAUUUAGAGGAAGGAGAANUCGUAACA